AAUGGGGAUAAAACACCUGCCUCCCAUCUACCUUCUAAUCCACGACGAUAAAAGAGAUGGUAAAUCGAAUUGACUGGAUGGACAAACUCCCCAGGUGCUAGCUGGACAGCCUGGGUGGGCAUUACAUCUUUCAAAGAUAUUUCACUCAAAUGAGAUGGAAGAUAGAAAAGCUGGGGGAAAAUGACACGAUUAUUUGGUUCCUAAUACCUUGGGGAAGCUUCAGUGCUCUUUGAGAUUCUAACCUCAAUUUACUUAAGAACAGUGAUUCACCUAGAGUUGCAUAGAAAUCAGUGGUGUUUAAAACCACAUUACAGAAAGUGAUCAUGGUGUUGAACAAGUUUCCAAAUCUGUGAGCAAAAGUGCUGUUUGGGUAACAGCUUGUGGAGAGAACUCCAUGUUUC
Phascolarctos cinereus (koala) is the source of this 401-nucleotide non-coding RNA. The record is from RefSeq and is a predicted model, not a curated record. NCBI's taxonomy places the organism in Eukaryota, Metazoa, Chordata, Mammalia, Diprotodontia, Phascolarctidae.